This 690-nucleotide ribosomal RNA is filed under the name uncultured Pelagibacterales bacterium. Its description in RNAcentral is "bacterial SSU rRNA". It matches the Rfam family "Bacterial small subunit ribosomal RNA", at positions 796 to 1498 of the family's 1533-position model. The record is from RNAcentral. Lineage: Bacteria; Pseudomonadati; Pseudomonadota; Alphaproteobacteria; Candidatus Pelagibacterales.
CAUGCCGUAAACGAUGUGUGUUAGACGUUGGGAAAUUUAUUUUCAGUGUCGCAGCGAAAGCGAUAAACACACCGCCUGGGGAGUACGACCGCAAGGUUAAAACUCAAAUGAAUUGACGGGGACCCGCACAAGUAGUGGAGCAUGUGGUUUAAUUCGAAGAUACGCGCAGAACCUUACCAACACUUGACAUGUUCGUCGCGACUCUAAGAGAUUAGAGUUUUCGGUUCGGCCGGACGAAACACAGGUGCUGCAUGGCUGUCGUCAGCUCGUGUCGUGAGAUGUUGGGUUAAGUCCCGCAACGAGCGCAACCCUUACUUUUAGUUGCCAUCAUUUAGUUGGGCACUCUGAAAGAACUGCCAGUGAUAAGCUGGAGGAAGGUGGGGAUGACGUCAAGUCCUCAUGGCCCUUACGUGUUGGGCUACACACGUGCUACAAUGGCAUUUACAAUAGGAAGCAAGAUGGCGACAUCAAGCAAAUCCUAAAAAGAUGCCUCAGUUCGGAUUGUACUCUGCAACUCGAGUACAUGAAGCUGGAAUUACUAGUAAUCGCGGAUCAGCGCGCCGCGGUGAAUACGUUCCCGGGUCUUGUACAUACCGCCCGUCACACCAUGGGAGUUGGUUCUACCUUAAGGCAAAGUUUAAAACCUUUGACCACGGUAUAGUCAGCGUUUUUUGAAGUCGUAACAAGGUA